CACGUAUUUAGCCGGGGCUUCCUCCUAUGAUACCGUCAUUAUCUUCUCAUAGGACAGAGCUUUACGAUUCGAAAACCUUCUUCGCUCACGCGGCGUCGCUGCAUCAGGGUUUCCCCCAUUGUGCAAUAUUCCCCACUGCUGCCUCCCGUAGGAGUCUGGACCGUGUCUCAGUUCCAGUGUGGCCGUUCAUCCUCUCAGACCGGCUACUGAUCGUCGCCUUGGUAGGCCUUUACCCUUCCAACUAGCUAAUCAGACGCGAGCCCAUCUUACACCGAUAAAUCUUUGACCCCUAUACCAUGCAGUAUUGUGGUCUCAUGCGGUAUUAAUCGUCGUUUCCAACGGCUAUCCCCCUGUGUAAGGUAGGUUGCUCACGUGUUACUCACCCGUUCGCCACUUUCAUUUUAUUUCCGUCCCCGAAGGUUCUUCCAUAAAAAUCACGUUCGACUUGCAUGUGUUAAGCACGCCGCCAGCGUUCGUCCUGUAGCCAGGAUCAAACUACU
RNAcentral lists this ribosomal RNA (500 nucleotides) under uncultured Parvimonas sp. RNAcentral describes it as "partial 16S ribosomal RNA". The record is from RNAcentral. Lineage: Bacteria; Bacillati; Bacillota; Tissierellia; Tissierellales; Peptoniphilaceae.